Molecule: non-coding RNA, 136 nt
Organism: Triticum aestivum (bread wheat)
Lineage: Eukaryota; Viridiplantae; Streptophyta; Magnoliopsida; Poales; Poaceae
Source: Rfam
GCAAUAUUCCCUCAGUCCGAAAAUACUUAUCAUUAAAAUGAAUGAAAAAAGGAUGCAUUUAAACGUAUUUUAGUUUCAAAUACAUCUUUUUUUAUCCAUUUUAAUGACAAGUAUUUCCGGACGGAGGAAAUACUUU